CCAAUCGAACUCGGAGAUAGCUGGUUCUCCCCGAAAUAGCUUUAGGGCUAGCGUUGGCUUAGAUUACCGGAGGUAAAGCACUGAAUGGGCUAGGGGCCGAUAAGGUUACUGAACCCUAUCAAACUCUGAAUGCCGGAUAAUUGAUGGCCAGCAGUCAGUCUACGUGAGAUAAGUCUCGUGGACAAAAGGGAAACAGCCCAGACCCACAGCUAAGGUCCCAAAGAUACGCUAAGUGGAAAACGAUGUGGAGUUGCGAAAACAACCAGGAUGUUGGCUUAGAAGCAGCCACUCAUUAAAAGAGUGCGUAAUAGCUCACUGGUCGAGUGACUCUGCGCGGAAAAUGUAACGGGGCUAAGCAUCUAACCGAAGCUUAGGAUUGUCGUAAGACAGUGGUAGGGGAGCGUUCCAUGUGGGGUGAAGUCGUAGCGGAAGCAGCGGUGGACUGCAUGGAAGUGAGAAUGCCGGAAUGAGUAGCGAGAAUUAUGUGGGAAUCAUAAUGGCCGAAAAUCUAAGGUUUCUUGGGGAAGGUUCGUCCGCCCAAGGUAAGCCGGGAGCUAAGGCGAGGCCGAAAGGCGUAGUCGAUGCACAUACGGUAGAAAUUCCGUAGCCACCGAACUUUAAGUCAGAGGGACACUUUUGGAUAGCGGAACCCGGGCGUUGGUUGACCCGGGCGAAAGGGAGCGAAAAUAUAGUAGCGAAGUCCGCGAUGCUGAGAGGCGAGAAAAGCUCUGAUGGAUACUAAGGUGCCCGUACCGCAAACCGACACAGGUAGAUGAGGAGAGAAUCCUAAGGCCAACGGGAGAAGGGUUGUUAAGGAACUCGGCAAGUUGACCCCGUAACUUCGGAAUAAGGGGUGCUCACGAGAGUGAGCCGCAGAGAAUAGGUCCAGGCGACUGUUUAGCAAAAACACAGGUCUAUGCUAAAUCGAAAGAUGACGUAUAUGGGCUGACGCCUGCCCGGUGCUGGAAGGUUAAGAGGAGAUGUGAGAGCAUUGAAUCGAAGCCCCAGUAAACGGCGGCCGUAACUAUAACGGUCCUAAGGUAGCGAAAUUCCUUGUCAGGUAAGUUCUGACCCGCACGAAAGGCGUAAUGAUUUGGGCACUGUCUCAACAGCCCGCCCGGCGAAAUUGUAGUACUGGUGAAGAUACCAGUUACCCGCAACUAGACGGAAAGACCCCAUGGAGCUUUACUGCAGCUUAAUACUGGAAUUCGGUAACCCAUGUACAGGAUAGGUGGGAGGCUUGGAAGCAGGGGCGUCAGCUCCUGUGGAGCCGCCGGUGGGAUACCACUCUUGGAUUGCUGAAUUUCUAACCUGCGGCCGUGAAUCCGGUCGGGGGACACUGUUAGGCGGGCAGUUUGACUGGGGCGGUCGCCUCCUAAAGAGUAACGGAGGCGCUCAAAGGUUGGCUCAGCACGGACGGAAAUCGUGCAGUGAGUGUAAACGUAGAAGCCAGCCUAACUGCGAGACCGACGGGUCGAGCAGUAACGAAAGUUGGAGUUAGUGAUCCGGUGGUAUGUGAGUGGAAAUGCCAUCGCUCAACGGAUAAAAGCUACCCUGGGGAUAACAGGCUGAUCUCCCCCAAGCGUCCACAGCGACGGGGAGGUUUGGCACCUCGAUGUCGGCUCGUCACAUCCUGGGGCUGAAUUCGGUCCCAAGGGUUCGGCUGUUCGCCGAUUAAAGUGGCACGCGAGCUGGGUUCAGAACGUCGUGAGACAGUUCGGUCCCUAUCUGUUGCGGGCGGAAGAGAUUUGAAGGGAGCUGUCCUUAGUACGAGAGGACCGGGAUGGACGUACCUCUGGUGCACCAGUUGUCCUGCCAAGGGCAUAGCUGGGUAGCUAAGUACGGACGAGAUAAACGCUGAAAGCAUCUAAGCGUGAAACUCCCCCUAAGAUGAGAUCUCUCACCUCGAAAGAGGGUAAGGGCCCAGGAAGACUACCUGGUAGAUAGGCCGGAGGUGGAAGUGCAGUAAUGUAUGGAGCUGACCGGUACUAAUCGCCCGAGGGCUUGACCUA
RNAcentral lists this ribosomal RNA (2012 nucleotides) under human gut metagenome. RNAcentral's name for it is "bacterial LSU rRNA". It matches the Rfam family "Bacterial large subunit ribosomal RNA", at positions 829 to 2925 of the family's 2925-position model. The record is from RNAcentral.